Long non-coding RNA from Myotis daubentonii (Daubenton's bat), 655 nucleotides. RefSeq lists it as uncharacterized. Lineage: Eukaryota; Metazoa; Chordata; Mammalia; Chiroptera; Vespertilionidae. The record is from RefSeq and is a predicted model, not a curated record.
GAUUGUAGUUUAUUUUGUUCAUUAGAUUCCACAUAUAAGUGAAACCAUAAGGAACUUGUAUUUCUCUGACUGGCUUACUUCACUUCACUUAGCAUAAUACUCACCGGCUCCAUCCAUGCUGUUGUAAAAGUUACCAGAGCUCAGAAGGCUUUGCUUCUCCUUCCUAUCCGUACAGACCUUCCCUGAUGGAAAAUUUGAGAACACUGGAAAACAGGGCACAUGAAGACUUUUCAAGAGUAUAAAGCAGAGAACUGAAGUCAGAGAACUGAAGACAGGAGGCCAGAAUUGGUGGGGCUCCAAAUCCAGCCAAGUUGGCUCCCCCAGAGCAAGCUGCCUCCUGUGUCCAGGGUUUCCUUGUCCUCCCUGAUGGAAAGUCUGACCUUCCGUUCCUAAGACACAUGCUGGUGUCUUCAUGAAUUUCAACCAAUUUCCAAAAGCACCAGUGGGAAAAGAAUUUUUACGGUUAAGGACAGCAAUAGGGACACAGAAGAGACUCUCAUUCAGAACAAUUGGAGCAUAGAAAAUGUUUACAGAUCUGCUUCCGAAUAAAUGAAUGAAUGUCACACUGGGCUCAACGUUUAGACAGGUGCAGCUGCAGAGAGAAUCCAGAGACCACUCAGCUGCUCUGUAGACAUGGGAGCAUCCUCAGAAUGAC